Molecule: ribosomal RNA, 624 nt
Filed under: uncultured bacterium
Lineage: Bacteria
Description: bacterial SSU rRNA
Rfam family: Bacterial small subunit ribosomal RNA (bases 1-530)
Source: RNAcentral
CCUACGGGAGGCAGCAGUGGGGAAUAUUGCACAAUGGGCGAAAGCCUGAUGCAGCAACGCCGCGUGAGGGAUGACGGCCUUCGGGUUGUAAACCUCUUUUAGUAAGGAAGAAGAACUUCGGUUUGACGGUACUUGCAGAAAAAGCACCGGCUAACUACGUGCCAGCAGCCGCGGUAAUACGUAGGGUGCAAGCGUUGUCCGGAAUUAUUGGGCGUAAAGAGCUCGUAGGCGGUUUGUCGCGUCUGCUGUGAAAUCCGGAGGCUCAACCUCCGGCCUGCAGUGGGUACGGGCAGACUAGAGUGCGGUAGGGGAGAUUGGAAUUCCUGGUGUAGCGGUGGAAUGCGCAGAUAUCAGGAGGAACACCGAUGGCGAAGGCAGAUCUCUGGGCCGUAACUGACGCUGAGGAGCGAAAGCAUGGGGAGCGAACAGGAUUAGAUACCCUGGUAGUCCAUGCCGUAAACGUUGGGAACUAGAUGUAGGGGCCAUUCCACGGUUUCUGUGUCGCGNGCUACGACAUAACGUUACCCGUCCGUCGGGAGGUACGGCCGGCCGACGGACGUAAACGUUAAACGGUAAGUUAGUUAGACGUGUUAGAGUAGCGACGACGACGACGAGGAGGAGGAG